GACGAACGCUGGCGGCGUGCUUAACACAUGCAAGUCGAGCGGUAAGGCCCUUUCGGGGGUACACGAGCGGCGAACGGGUGAGUAACACGUGGGUGACCUGCCCUCAGCUCUGGGAUAAGCCCGGGAAACUGGGUCUAAUACCGGAUAUGACUCCAUGACGCAUGUUGUGGGGUGGAAAGCCUUGUGCGGCUGAGGAUGGGCCCGCGGCCUAUCAGCUUGUUGGUGGGGUGAGGCCUACCAAGGCGACGACGGGUAGCCGGCCUGAGAGGGCGACCGGCCACACUGGGACUGAGACACGGCCCAGACUCCUACGGGAGGCAGCAGUGGGGAAUAUUGCGCAAUGGGCGAAAGCCUGACGCAGCGACGCCGCGUGGGUGAUGAAGGCCU
This 387-nucleotide ribosomal RNA is filed under the name uncultured bacterium. RNAcentral's name for it is "bacterial SSU rRNA". It matches the Rfam family "Bacterial small subunit ribosomal RNA", at positions 28 to 417 of the family's 1533-position model. The record is from RNAcentral.